GAUGAAGAACGUAGCGAAAUGCGAUAAGUAAUGCGAAUUGCAGAAUCCGUGAGUCAUCGAAUCUUUGAACGCACAUUGCGCCCCUUGGUUAUUCCGAAGGGCAUGCCUGUUCGAGCGUCAUUAUCACCCCUCAAGCCCUGGCUUGGUGUUGGACUUUAGUUAUAGCUUUGCCUAUCAACUAGUCUCAAAGAUAGUGACGGCGCCCCAGAGGGAACCGGGUACGAGGAGCUUUUUACUAAGCAUGUAUCUGGGACGACUCUGAUGGGCGACGGUCUUGUUAUACUUUUUACCUAGGUGUUGACCUCGGAUCAGGUAGGAAUACCCGCUGAACUUAAGCAUAUCAAUAAGCGGAGGA
This 355-nucleotide unclassified non-coding RNA is filed under the name soil metagenome. Its description in RNAcentral is "partial contains 5.8S ribosomal RNA, internal transcribed spacer 2, and large subunit ribosomal RNA". The stretch from base 1 to 120 matches the Rfam family "5.8S ribosomal RNA", at positions 35 to 154 of the family's 154-position model. The record is from RNAcentral.